GCAAUGGAAGUUACCCAGGUGCUUUUGAAUGCACAAUCAAUAGAUGGAAAUGUGCGUAAACAUGCAGAAGAAAGCUUAAAACAGUUCCAGGAGCAAAACCUCUCCAGUUUUUUGCUAUCACUCUCUAGUGAGCUAGCAAAUGAUGAGAAACCUGUAGAUAGCCGCAAAUUAGCUGGUUUAAUACUUAAAAAUGCAUUGGAUGCCAAGGAACAACAUAGAAAACUUGAGCUUGUUCAAAGAUGGUUGUCACUGGACAACAAUGUGAAAAGCCAAAUCAAGGCAUGUUUGUUAAAGACUCUUUC
This 302-nucleotide unclassified non-coding RNA is filed under the name Hevea brasiliensis (rubber tree). Lineage: Eukaryota; Viridiplantae; Streptophyta; Magnoliopsida; Malpighiales; Euphorbiaceae. The record is from RNAcentral.